UUCAACGAAAAAGAACGAUGAGAAAGAAAAGCUUUUUUCUUCGUGAACCUUUUGGCUUGGAUUCUGUAAAUGGCACUGGAAGAAUUCACGGGGGUUUUAAGCGAUUGGCCCGUGGAGCUCCCGUGUCAUACACAGCGUCCGGCCUUCCAGCGUGCAGUUAAAUCGUUCUGCCGAUAAGGAACGCAAAAGGGAAAGAAAUUACCUGGCCGUCGUCUUCGUUUUGCACAAUCGCUAUCGGUUCGUAAAUACGGAACGUUCUUAUUUAUCGGCUCUCUGACCGAAGUUACGGAGGUAGGAGAAACCGAUUCGAUUCAAGAGAGAUCGAAUGAAUCGAAUCGCGACGAUCGAAGAUCAUUGAAUCUUGAUAAUAUCAUUUUCUUUUGGAAUCGUCAACGAUAUCGCAUGUCAAUUUUCAAGAGACGUAGGGGCUCAUCCGGUCAUCCACGUGGAUAUUCAUUCGACUUAGCAACGAGGAGAACGAGCAACGACCUCCGUCUCGUCGUCGGAAGGCACGCAGUAGCGGCCCGACUUUACUCGAUUCGAAAGGAUGGAAGGUGUAAUACCAUGGGAAGAAAAGACGGACAGAAAGAGAAAGAUGGAUAGAUAGAGAGAGAGAGAGAGAGAGAGAGAGAGAGAGAGAGAGAGAGAAGGAGAAAAAUAAAUAAAGAGGGAAGAAAGAUGGCGAACUCGCUGGAACUACAUUUACUUUUCUUUGGAAAAAUUGAAGGCUAGCAAGCGAGAUAUGGCGCUCGGUCUAUGGCAGGUGGACUCGUAUGGAAUCGAUAUUUGAAUGCAAG
Molecule: long non-coding RNA, 797 nt
Organism: Vespula pensylvanica (western yellowjacket)
Lineage: Eukaryota; Metazoa; Arthropoda; Insecta; Hymenoptera; Vespidae
Exons: 2
Source: RefSeq, a predicted model, not a curated record